UACGAGAGCCCCGAGCGUUAUCCGGAAUUAUUGGGCGUAAAGAGUGCGUAGGUGGUUGUAUUAGUCGUUCGUUAAAUCUCUGGGCUUAACCUGGAAACUACAAACGAAACGGUACAACUUGAGAGUGUGAGGGGAAUAGGGAACUCAUGGUGUAGGGGUGAAAUCCGUUGAUAUCAUGGGGAACACCAAAAGCGAAGGCACUAUUCUGGCACACAUCUGACACUCCAGCACGAAAGCGUGGGUAGCGAAUGGG
Molecule: ribosomal RNA, 253 nt
Filed under: uncultured bacterium
Lineage: Bacteria
Description: partial 16S ribosomal RNA
Rfam family: Bacterial small subunit ribosomal RNA
Source: RNAcentral